Molecule: non-coding RNA, 668 nt
Filed under: Pongo abelii (Sumatran orangutan)
Lineage: Eukaryota; Metazoa; Chordata; Mammalia; Primates; Hominidae
Source: RNAcentral
GGCUAGAUGUGGAAACAGCAAGAGAACUAGAAUUGGAAGUAAAGCGUUGAAGAUGUGACUGAAUUGCUGCAAUCUCAUGAUCAAAUUUGAAUGGAUGAGGAGUUGCUUCUUAGGGAUAAGCUAAGAAAGUGGUUUCUUGAGAUGGAAUCUACUGGUUGCUCCUUGAGGGCAGGACAGUUCUUAUGGCUUUAUCUGUUGCUUAAGCACAGAGAGAGGUCUGUGAGGUCAAAACUGUUGUCAUGAUAGCAAGAUGCUUGUCUUUUUCAUUUAUUCUCACAGUGUGCAGAGGCUACAUGAUUUGUGAUGACAUCCUCAUUGUUGUUAAUGAAUGGUGCUAUACUUGAAUUUUCUAAGGUGUCGUUAGAUGAGGUCUUGCUCAGCCUAUUCACAGCUGCCAUCAUAGUGAACUACAGCCUGAAACUCCUGGGUUCAAGCGAUCCUCCUGCCUCAGCUUCCUGAGUAGCUGGAACUAUAGGCAUGCACCACCAAGCCUGGGCUUUUAAAAAAAUUUAAAAAAAAACUUUUUUUGAGACAGGAUCUUGCCAUGUUGCUCAGGCUAGCCUUCAACUCGUAGCCCUGAGUGAUCUUGCUUUGGGGCUCCCAAAAUGUUGAGUUAAUAGGUGUGAGCCACCAUACCACCCAGCCAAAAAUUUUUUUAGAGAUGGGAA